RNAcentral lists this ribosomal RNA (446 nucleotides) under uncultured bacterium. RNAcentral's name for it is "bacterial SSU rRNA". It matches the Rfam family "Bacterial small subunit ribosomal RNA", at positions 330 to 793 of the family's 1533-position model. The record is from RNAcentral.
UCCAGACUCCUACGGGAGGCAGCAGUGGGGAAUAUUGCACAAUGGGGGAAACCCUGAUGCAGCAACGCCGCGUGAGUGAAGAAGCGUUUCGGCGCGUAAAGCUCUGUCAGCGGGGAAGAAAGAAGACGGUACCCGACCAAGAAGCCCCGGCUAACUACGUGCCAGCAGCCGCGAUAAUACGUAGGGGGCGAGCGUUAUCCGGAAUUACUGGGUGUAAAGGGAGCGUAGACGGCGAAGUAAGCCUGAAGUGGAAGCCCGCGGCCCAACCGCGGAACUGCUUUGGGAACUGUUUAGCUGGAGUAUGGGAGGGGUAAGCGGAAUUCCUGGUGUAGCGGUGAAAUGCGUAGAUAUCAGGAGGAACACCGGUGGCGAAGGCGACUAUCUGGCACAUAACUGACGCUGAGGAGCGAAAGCGUGGGUAGCAAACAGGAUUAGAUACCCGUAUG